RNAcentral lists this ribosomal RNA (496 nucleotides) under uncultured bacterium. RNAcentral describes it as "partial 16S ribosomal RNA". It matches the Rfam family "Bacterial small subunit ribosomal RNA", at positions 29 to 507 of the family's 1533-position model. The record is from RNAcentral.
ACGAACGCUGGCGGCGGGCCUAAUACAUGCAAGUCGAGCGAACGGACGAGAAGCUUGCUUCUCUGAUGCUAGCGGCGGACGGGAGAGUAACACGUGGAUAACCUACCUAUAAGACUGGGAUAACUUCGGGAAACCGGAGCUAAUACCGGAUGAUAUUUUGAACCGCAUGGUUCAAAAGUGAAAGACGGUCUUGCUGUCACUUAUAGAUGGAUCCGCGCUGCAUUAGCUAGUUGGUAAGGUAACGGCUUACCAAGGCAACGAUGCAUAACCGACCUGAGAGGGUGAUCGGCCACACUGGAACUGAGACACGGACCAGACUCCUACGGGAGGCAGCAUGAGGGAAUCUUCCGCCAUGGGCGAAAGCCUGACGGAGCAACGCUGCGUGAGUGAUGAAGGUCUUCGGAUCGUAAAACUCGUUUAUUAGGGAAGAACAUAUGUGGAAGUAACUGUGCACAUCUUGACGGUACCUAAUCAGAAAGCCACGGCUAACUACGUG